CAUUAAUAAUAUUAAUAUGAAACAUAUACAGUAUGCUACAUGAAACGACUUCAAAAGCGGAACUGGCAUUUUUUCCCCGACUACAUUUAGCACAUGAUAAUCAUUUGAGAGAAGAUAUUAUUAUUCAAGAUUUUAUUGAUGAAAAAAUAUCUUCAACGAACGAGGUUUGAACGUUUUGCGUUGAAAAGCAGUCCAAUCAAUGUCUUGUCAUGCCAUGAAAAAUGUUCGAGUUUAUCCCGCGUCAUUUAUAAUUCAGCGCGAGGUAACCGAAAUCUAAACGACUGCCGAUGAUAAAGAGAUACAUUCAAGCGCAUUGCUGUAGUAUUUCAAGCACACCACUCACAUAAAAAGAUAUCUUGUUACUUUCACAUCGCAAUAAAGGACACCGCACCGACUUUGCUCCAACCCACACAUUAUUAUUCUACAUUUACACACUGAAAAAAGCAACGAGGAGGCAAAAUGCAGCGAAAAACUAUAAAAGAAUAAGGAAAUAAGGUGUCAGGUACACAACAUCAAUACAAAUUGUUUAAAUUUAUUGCUGUUAAAAUUGAGUAUGGCGCCUGCAUGCGCAAAAAUACUCGGUUGAAUUUUUAUUUGUUUUUUUUUCCUCGAGAAUGUAUCCAAGUUAUUUAAGUUGAA
This is a long non-coding RNA of Culicoides brevitarsis, 639 nucleotides long. RefSeq lists it as uncharacterized. The record is from RefSeq and is a predicted model, not a curated record. Lineage: Eukaryota; Metazoa; Arthropoda; Insecta; Diptera; Ceratopogonidae. The transcript is spliced from 5 exons.